GCCGGGGUGAUGAAAUUGGUAAACAUAGCGGACUUAAAAUCCGCCGCCUUCAGGCUUGCCGGUUCAAGUCCGGUCCCCGGCACCA
This 85-nucleotide transfer RNA is filed under the name Candidatus Pandoraea novymonadis. RNAcentral describes it as "tRNA-Leu". It matches the Rfam family "tRNA". From Rfam's summary of the family: Transfer RNA (tRNA) molecules are approximately 80 nucleotides in length. The record is from RNAcentral. Lineage: Bacteria; Pseudomonadati; Pseudomonadota; Betaproteobacteria; Burkholderiales; Burkholderiaceae.